Long non-coding RNA from Mauremys reevesii (Reeves's turtle), 619 nucleotides. RefSeq lists it as uncharacterized. The record is from RefSeq and is a predicted model, not a curated record. The transcript is spliced from 6 exons. NCBI's taxonomy places the organism in Eukaryota, Metazoa, Chordata, Testudines, Geoemydidae.
AUCUGGCCUGAUCCUGUCACAAUUGCUAUAUUCCAUGAAAAAGAAUAAAGUUUGAUGCUACAGGCACUAGCGGUCACAAUGAUAAAGCUUAUGAUCUGAUAAAGAUUAAAGACAUAAAAGUACUGUGAAGAUUAAACUUCAAAGGUUCAUGAUGGCUGUCUCAUUUUCUCCAAGGGAAUUUAGAUGAAGGAAAAACGUUCCCAGAAGACGUGGAAUAUAUGCUCUGGUAUGACUGCUUCCUGCAGUUCUCUAAUUCUUCCCACCCUAACAAGGGCAAAGGAUAGCAGAGGGACAUGAAGGAAGAAAAGAAGAUGUGCUGCCUGGGAAGACUGAAUUGUAACUAUGAUAGUCACUGUUCAGAGUGAAAACAACGAGGAGUCCUCGAGACUAACGGAUGAGGAUGGGCCCAAACCAAAACCCUGGGUCCAAACACAGAAACAAACAUUAAGAAUCUUCAUUUUGUUUGCUGAUAAAUACCACUGGGACAUCUCUCCCAGAGAGAACGGAUUAGGUAACUCAUGAACAACAGGGAUAGAUAGAAUGAACCGAAAUCAUGGCAUUACACAUCUGAGUUCAUCUAUUGAUGUUCUAGUUUUCAUGGAGAAAGUACACAGCGGAG